UACGUAGGGGGGCAAGCGUUGUCCGGAAUUACUGGGCGUAAAGCGCGCGUAGGCGGCUUUGUAAGUUAGAGGUGAAAGCCCGGGGCUCAACCCCGGAACUGCCUUUAAGACUGCAUCGCUAGAAUUGUGGAGAGGUAAGUGGAAUUCCGAGUGUAGAGGUGAAAUUCGUAGAUAUUCGGAAGAACACCAGUGGCGAAGGCGACUUACUGGACACAUAUUGACGCUGAGGUGCGAAAGCGUGGGGAGCAAACAGG
RNAcentral lists this ribosomal RNA (254 nucleotides) under uncultured bacterium. RNAcentral's name for it is "partial 16S ribosomal RNA". It matches the Rfam family "Bacterial small subunit ribosomal RNA", at positions 524 to 776 of the family's 1533-position model. The record is from RNAcentral.